RNAcentral lists this transfer RNA (69 nucleotides) under Ictidomys tridecemlineatus (thirteen-lined ground squirrel). Its description in RNAcentral is "Spermophilus tridecemlineatus (thirteen-lined ground squirrel) tRNA". It matches the Rfam family "tRNA". Rfam says of the family: Transfer RNA (tRNA) molecules are approximately 80 nucleotides in length. Their secondary structure includes four short double-helical elements and three loops (D, anti-codon, and T loops). Lineage: Eukaryota; Metazoa; Chordata; Mammalia; Rodentia; Sciuridae. RNAcentral also lists the same sequence under 1 other name. The record is from Rfam by way of RNAcentral.
GGAGUUGUAGCUCAGUGGUAGAGCGCUUGCCUAGCAUGUGUGGGUCACUGGGUUCGAUCCUCAGCACCA